This 258-nucleotide ribosomal RNA is filed under the name Vibrio cyclitrophicus. RNAcentral describes it as "partial 16S ribosomal RNA". It matches the Rfam family "Bacterial small subunit ribosomal RNA", at positions 1290 to 1533 of the family's 1533-position model. RNAcentral also lists the same sequence under 1 other name. The record is from RNAcentral. Lineage: Bacteria; Pseudomonadati; Pseudomonadota; Gammaproteobacteria; Vibrionales; Vibrionaceae.
AGUCCGGAUUGGAGUCUGCAACUCGACUCCAUGAAGUCGGAAUCGCUAGUAAUCGUGAAUCAGAAUGUCACGGUGAAUACGUUCCCGGGCCUUGUACACACCGCCCGUCACACCAUGGGAGUGGGCUGCAAAAGAAGUGGGUAGUUUAACCUUUCGGGGAGGACGCUCACCACUUUGUGGUUCAUGACUGGGGUGAAGUCGUAACAAGGUAGCCCUAGGGGAACCUGGGGCUGGAUCACCUCCUUAUACGAAGAUACC